RNAcentral lists this ribosomal RNA (398 nucleotides) under uncultured Geobacter sp. Its description in RNAcentral is "bacterial SSU rRNA". It matches the Rfam family "Bacterial small subunit ribosomal RNA", at positions 95 to 470 of the family's 1533-position model. The record is from RNAcentral. Lineage: Bacteria; Pseudomonadati; Thermodesulfobacteriota; Desulfuromonadia; Geobacterales; Geobacteraceae.
GUGGCGCACGGGUGAGUAACGCGUGGAUAAUCUGCCCUGUGAUCUGGGAUAACACUUCGAAAGGGGUGCUAAUACCGGAUAAGACCACGGAGUCUUAGGACUCUGCGGUAAAAGGUGGGGACCUUCGGGCCUACCGUCAUCGGAUGAGUCCGCGUACCAUUAGCUAGUUGGUAGGGUAAGAGCCUACCAAGGCGACGAUGGUUAGCUGGUCUGAGAGGAUGUUUUUUUCUCACUGGAACUGAGACACGGUCCAGACUCCUACGGGAGGCAGCAGUGGGGAAUUUUGCGCAAUGGGGGAAACCCUGACGCAGCAACGCCGCGUGAGUGAUGAAGGCCUUCGGGUCGUAAAGCUCUGUCAGAGGGGAAGAAGUGUGCGGGUGCUAAUAUCAUCUGCGCUU